UAGCAUAUCAAUAAGCGGAGGAAAAGAAACCAACAGGGAUUGCCUCAGUAACGGCGAGUGAAGCGGCAACAGCUCAAAUUUGAAAUCUGGCGCAAGCCCGAGUUGUAAUUUGUAGAGGAUGCUUCAGGGCAGCGGCCGGUCUAGGUUCCUUGGAACAGGACGUCGUAGAGGGUGAGAAUCCCGUAUGCGACCGGUGGGCACCCGUCACGUAGCUCCUUCGACGAGUCGAGUUGUUUGGGAAUGCAGCUCUAAAUGGGUGGUAAAUUCCAUCUAAAGCUAAAUACCGGCCAGAGACCGAUAGCGCACAAGUAGAGUGAUCGAAAGAUGAAAAGCACUUUGGAAAGAGAGUUAAAAAGCACGUGAAAUUGUUGAAAGGGAAGCGCAUGCAACCAGACUCGUCGGCGGCGUUCCGCCGGUCUUCUGACCGGUCUACUCGCCGCCGGCGGGCCAGCAUCAUCUGGGCGCGCCGGACAAAGGCGCGGGGAAUGUAGCUCCUCGGAGUGUUAUAGGCCCGCGCACAAUACGGCGCCGCCCGGGUGAGGUCCGCGCUCCGGCUAGGAUGCUGGCGUAAUGGUUGUACGCGGCCCGUCUUGAAACACGGACCAAGGAGUCUAACAUCUAUGCGAGUGUUCGGGUGUCAAACCCCUGCGCGGAAUGAAAGUGAACGGAGGUGGGAAGCGCGAGCUGCACCAUCGACCGAUCCUGAUGUCUUCGGAUGGAUUCGAGUAAGAGCAUAGCUGUUGGGACCCGAAAGAUGGUGAACUAAACUUGGCCAGAGCGAAGCCAGAGGAAACUCUGGUGGAGGCUCGCAGCGGUUCUGACGUGCAAAUCGAUCGUCAAAGCUGGGUUUAGGGGCGAAAGACUAAUCGAACCAUCUAGUAGCUGGUUCCUGCCGA
Molecule: ribosomal RNA, 896 nt
Filed under: Teratosphaeria fibrillosa
Lineage: Eukaryota; Fungi; Ascomycota; Dothideomycetes; Mycosphaerellales; Teratosphaeriaceae
Description: LSU rRNA
Rfam family: Eukaryotic large subunit ribosomal RNA
Source: RNAcentral